Molecule: long non-coding RNA, 7295 nt
Filed under: Homo sapiens (human)
Lineage: Eukaryota; Metazoa; Chordata; Mammalia; Primates; Hominidae
Description: HSALNT0305962
Source: RNAcentral
AUUGAGAGGAGUGACUAUCCCUCCAAAAGCUGCUGAUUAGCACUCUGGCUUGAAAGGCUCCAUGCUAAUAUGUAGUUUGCUACAAAGAUGCCAGGGUUUGGUAUGGUCACUAAAUUAUUUUCCCUUCUCUGAUAAUUGGCUGGUUGAUACUAAUGAAGAGAUGCAACUAUUUUCAUUAUAUUAUUAUUGAAUACCCUUGAAACCACCCACCCCAAGAACUUGGACUUAUCAGUAACUCAUAUCUAUCUAUGACAUCCUCUCUUCUUCCAUCCUCUGCCACCUGACCCAGCAGCCACUAUUCAAAACUUCAUUUUCUUGUUCAGCUUCUCUGUCUUUUGCCGACUGCUAUGGUCUGAAUGUUUGUGUCCCUCCAAAAUUCAUAUGUUGAAAUCUAAUCCCCAACCUGAUAGUGUUAAGAGGUGUGGGGCCUUUCAGGCCUCUGAUUAAAUCAGAGGGAGGAGCCCUUGUGAAUGGGGUUCAUGCCCUUAUAAAAGAAGCUGCAGGGAUUUUGUUUGCUCCUUCUGCCAUUUGAGUACACAGCUAGAAAUGGCAUCUAUGAAGCAGACAGUAGGCCCUUACCAGAUGCCAAAUUUGUUGGCGCCUUGAUCUUGGAUGUUCCAGCCUCCAGAGCUAUGAGCAGUAAAUUUCUGUUGUUCACAAAUUGCGCAGUCUAAAGUGUUUCGUUUUACUAGGCUGAACAGACUGAGGCACUGGCCCAGGGUUUAGCAUUCAGAAGUGUUGCCCCAGGCAUCAGCCUCUGGCUGCCAGCCUCUACAGCCCAGCUCACUUUGUGGGGAUGGGUGGGGUAGGAAUGUCCUUAGGGACUUGUGAGAUAAGCAGUGUCUUCAGAGCAUGUUUUAGCCAGGAUCUUUUUAAAGACAUUCUUUAAUCCUAUACGGCCAAUUGUCUCCUUUUAACCACUAUUUUCUAAUGCUAUCUUUACCGUGCAGAAUGCAAGUCACAGAUAAUGUAACCCAACAACAAACACAAUUCUCCCCCAAAAAAUCAAUGCAAUUUCCUAACUGUAAUGUAAAAGGAAAAAAAAAGGAAAGUCAUGCGGAGUCAAACAGGCAUUUCAUCAUGUAAAUGCGUGGGCCCACCUGUCCUAAGACAAAAUGAAAUAGCCAGAUCUUUGUACCUGUUGGCAAAAUCACCUAUAAAUGCAACAUCUCCAAAUACAGGAUUUAUUUGGUGACUCAUAUUACAGGAGUGGCUCUAUCAUCAAUAAUAUAACUUUUUUUAUGGUUAAUAACUUGUAAAGUUCAGAACAGAAAGUAUGUUCUUAGCUCAUUAUACAUGGUAGUUGUAUUCUGGGACAAUUUUAAAUGUGUUAAAACUAUGCAAAAAUUAGGUUAUCCCCAUAGGUUUUCCUGACCAGUGGGGUCUUAGUGUGCACAGAAGGUCAGAAACCCCUGGGUGCUCAUUUACAAUGCAGAUUUUAGUCCCAUCCUUGAGAUUCAGCAAGUGUGAGGUAGGGCUUUGGAAUCUGCAUUUUUAAUGAGCACCCCAGGUUAUCCCAGUGCAGUUAGUGGGUCCAAGGAUAAGUGGUUUUUCACUUAAGCUAAGGAUCAGUCACAGGAUGACUAAUCAGAUUUUUGGUGAGGCUUGGUAAGGAACAUUUCUAGUGCCAUUGAUUUUUACAUUAAAUGUUUUUUUUCCCCAAAAGCUCAGGUGAUGGGACAUUCUGAAAUCCUAGCACUCCCUAGGGUUUUCUAGGGCAUGAGGGUGUGCGGAGGCUGAAUGGAAGAGAGGACGGGGCUGAUCGGGUCUCCAUACACAACUCCUUGGUGCUUGUGACCUUGAGCAAGUCACUCCACCAGAGCCACGUUGUGACUCUUGGGGGCCCAAGACUGGGUUUAGUAGACCUCUUCCUCCAUUUAAAAUAAAAAAUUAUAUUUUCAUGACUGUGUCCAGGAUGAAUUGUAUUCAUUUUUUCCUUCUGACUUUAAAAGAAAGAAAAUUCUCAUGGGCCCCUAAAAGUUUGGUGGGCCUUUAGGCACUUGUUUAAGUUGGCCUCACACCUCUCUGGACAUUCAUUUCUUCACCUGAAAAAUGUGAUGGUAGCUACUUUGCAGGUAUGUUGUGGGGAUUUGAUCUGAUGGGAGUAAUUCCCUCUGAGUACUUACUACCUGGCACAAGCUAGGAGUUAUCAUACAUGGGCAAAGAGAAAGCAUUCCAUUUAACAGUGACCCUUUGUACAGGUACUUAUAAAAGGAUCAGAUCUGUCUAAUCACUGUGUAAUUUUUCUUAAUUAACCAUGCUGUUUACAUGGAGAUUCUUUUCCCUCCUAAUCUUCAUUCUUAUUCAUGCUAGCGCUCAUUUCAUGCAUCCUGGUGAUUCCCACCAUCUGUAGGGUUUGACAGCUCUCCCACCCUUUGGGAGGAUGGUGCAGUCACGUAUUCAUCUAUUAAAGGAGAAUGAAUGGAGAUGCACUGGGCCUUACUGCUGUUGGAUUUCUUAAUCUCAGUACGAGAAAUUCUAAUUUCUGCCUAAGUCCCUGUUCUGUACUGUGCCCCUUUCUUCCUUGGCUAAUGAAAUUAGCCAAGUCUCUCAAGUUGACUUGAGAGACUCAAAAGAAAACUUGGUAGUUAGCAAGUGGUGUGAUGUCCUGGGGUUAAGUGAGGGCGUUGGCUAGCCAGAACUAUGAUGGAGCAGAAACAAGAUGUCAUGGAAGGUAAGAGAGCUGGCCAGUUGGUAGAGGGGAGAAUUGGGCACAUAAAAAGAAAAAACAGAUGCUGGGAGAGGGAGUGAGAAUGAAGGGCAGUACCCCAGGAAGGAGAUUUUGGUCUCUUUCCUGUAGGAACCCAGGAAAUCACUAUUCCUUAAAACCAAGGAGAUUGACUAACACUGUACCUUUUUAAGAGGACUUGAUAUUGCUCUUCAAUUGUAAAACCAUUCAGUCAGCUUGUGAACAGGUAUCUCUCUGGGGAUACUAUGGGAAAAGCCCUGCCCUCAGUGAGCAUAUAGUUUGCUGGAGGGGAGUCACACUCCAUCGACAAACAAUUAAGACUGCUUCAGGUCUUCCAAAGUGUUCUGAAAAGACAAAGACAGGCAGGAAAAAAGGGUGGUGAGUGGUUGCUUUUGGUAGGCUAGGGUGAUAACUGAAAAGUUGCAGGUGAGGCUUCAGGGAAGGAAAGGAUGAUAAUACAUAGACCUGCAGGAAGAGUGUUUACAGCAGAAGGAGCAGCAAGUGCAACGGCCAUGGGUCAGGAACAAGCUUCGGCAUGUUCAGGAGAGGACAGAAGGCCAGAGUUGUGUGCAUGGCAUGUGAGUAAGAAAGAGAGUAGGAGAGAGGUCAAGGGGUAGGCAGUGGCCAGACCAUGUAGGUAAUGGUCCAGUUUGGAGUUUGCUUGUAGCCAGAAGCCCCUGAUAAUUUUAUACCUGUGAGUGACAUCCUCUGACAUUUACACUUCAGAAAGAUGGCUUUUAGCCCUGCGGAGGGUGGGGCUAGAGCAGGCAGGAAGACGAGCUAGGAGCCUAUUGCUAUAAUGUGGGUGGGAGGUGAGGGUAGCUUGGAAUGAGAUUGAAAUAGUGGAGAUAGUGAAAAUAGAUUUGGGGUACAUUUUGGAGGCAGAGCUGGUAGAUACUGAUGGAUUAAAUAUGAGGGGUGGGAAGGAGUGAAGAGAACGUACACAUGAGGGCUUAAGGGUCUUGCUGGAGCAGCCGGAGUGGGAGAUGCUGUUUGCUGAGCUGCUUUGUGCGUCUGUCAGAAAGCAGCGGCUCUCUUUCGGGCCUGCUAAGCUGGGGAUACAUACUAAACACUGAAGUGGAGCUCAUGAGUGGCACAUGGAUGUUUGGAUCUGGACCUUGUUCAGUUGAGGGGUCAAGGAUAGAUACAUGAAUUUGAGAGCCUCCACUUACAGUUGGCAUUUGCAGUCGUGGGACAGGGUACACUUGCUGAGGGAGAGAAUAUGGAUAGAGAAGAGAUUUGAGGACAGAGCCCAGGGGUGUCCCAACAAGGUGAGUUCUGGGAGAGAAGUCAGCUGGGGAAUUGCUUCAGUGUCCUGAAGGCAGAUCAAUGAGAAGGAGCAGUUCUAUAAAUAGAAAUCCCUGCAGAGAUGUUAGAAAACCAGCAUUACAGCAUGCCAAGAGAUAGAAUAGUGAUUAAUAACUGCUUAAAAGUGUAUGUUCUGCCACUGGAAUGCUAGGAAAGCUACCCAAAAAGGCUGUUCCUAAUUGAGGAAUAUGGUUCUUAAAUGUUUACAUUGCCUUAUAUUUGUGAUAGGGAUUAUUGGCUUUGUGAGCAAAGCUCUUUGACAUUUGUGGAUGGAGUGUACUCAUUAUUGAGAGGAAUUUUCUGAAAUGAAUGUCAGUUCCUUUUUUCCCCUAAGCUUUGCUUUGAAUUACUAUACAGUUUACUUAAGAAACCUGUGAUCAGCGAGAGGAAAGAGAAGUGAUUUCUGAAGCUUCUAAUGGCCACUUCCUGCUGAGUCUUAGCAUUCUAUCCUGUCAAGUAUGCUAAUGGGAGAAGGAGCAACAUCUCUGGAUACAAAGGAUCGCCAGGAUGCUGAUGUGAAUAGUAGGGGUGAGCUAGCUCUGUCCUCAUGCCCAGACCUUGUCCUGAUCUGUAGCACACAUUUGAGAGACAGGAGCUGUAUUAAUUGCCUAUUGCUGCUGUAACAAAUUAUUACACUUAGUGGCUUAAAAGAACAUGUUUAUUUUAUGGUUCUGGAGGUAAGAAAUCUGAAACGGCUCUGUAGUAGGCUAACACCCUCCAGGUGUUAGGCUGUAACUCCUGAAACGUGGAUGUAGCCUUAUGUGGAAUAAGGGUCUUUGCAGAUGUGAUUAAGCACCUUGAGAUAGGGCAAUUAUCGUGGAUUGUCAAGAUGGGCCCUAAAUGCCACCUCAAAUGUUCUCCUCACAGAGAUGCAGAGGAGGAUUACUCAGAAGAGAAGGCAGUGUGACCACAGAAGUAGGAAUUAGCAUGCUGUGGCCACAAGCCAAAAAAUACAUGCAGCCACCAGAAGCUGGAAGAGGCAAGGAACCGACUGUCCCUAGAGCCUCUGGAGGGAGCACGGCCCUGUCCUGCCUACCCCUUCGCUUCUACCCAGUGAUACCAAUUUCAGACAUCUGGAGUCUGGAACUGUGAGAGAAGAGUUUUCUGUUGUUUUAAGCCACUAAGUAUAGGUAAUUAUUAAUGACAAUUUGUUAUAGCAGCAAUAGGGAACCAAUACAGAGUCUCACUGGGCUAAUCCAGUGUCAGCAGGACUGUGUUCCUUUCAGGAGGCUCUUAGAAUCUGUUUUCUUGACUCUUCCAGCUUCUAGAGUCUGUCCACAUUCCUUCACUCAUGGCUUCUUAUGUCUUCAAGCCAGUCUUUGACACUUUUUAGAUAGUGAUUCUUCUGCUUCCCUCUUCCGCAUUUAAGGACGCUGUGAUUGCAUUAGACCCACCUUGAUAAUUAUCUUAAGGUCAGCUGAUUAGCUACCUUAACUCCAUCUGCAUCCUUAAUUGCCCUUUGCCAUGUAAGGUGUAACAUACUCAGAUUCUGGGGCUAUGACAGAGACAUCUUUAGGAGCUGUUAUUUUGCCUUAAAAAGGAGGCAAUUAUUUAAGUAUAUAAGGUGAAUAGUUAGGUCUUUCUCUCCAGGAAACCUAACUUGUCAUUCAGCGGUUACCAUGCAUGGGUAUCUUCUUCCAAUUGCCUGAGCCAGCCAGACUUUCAUGUUUGAGCAUUCAGAUUGGGCUUUAUUUCUCAAGGCAUGUGGCAAACCUCACAAUGACACUGAAAGGUUAAAAAAAAAAAAAAGAAAAAUACAGUUGCUUACCAGAGAUACUGAUCGUUUACUUCUGCUAGGAUCAGAAGAGAUUUUAAGAGCUUAGUGGCAAAUCCUGACCUUGGAAAGCCCUGCCUUACCAGGGGUCUUGUGCAGAGGUGUUAUUGAGAUCAGACACCAGGUUGCAGUGAUAUGUAUCAUUUGUGCUCUUGCCAUCUACCGCCCCCUGCCUGCCACCAAGCCAACCUCAGGAGGUCUUUGCCCAGAGGCUUGGCAAGAUGACUUUCCACAACUCAGGGAGGUUUUAAGGAGAGGGAUUAGCAUUGACUCUGAUACCUUGUUGGUUUGUGUGUCAUAACUUAAAGGUCCAUGCUUCUCAGCUGGCCAGUGGUCACACCUGAUUGGAAGGUGAAAAGACUUUGCGUUCUACUUCCAAAAGUUUUCACAUUUGUCACACUGUCCUAACCCUAUCAGCUUUGUUGCUAUCAUUGUAGUGAGGCCUGCCUAGGGAUGAUAAGUGAAGGAUCCCCAAGGACACAUUAAGACAGCACAUAGAAUCAGAGUUUUCAGACUCUUGGCCGAACUUUUUUUUUUUUUAAGCAGACCAGUAUUUUCCAAACUUUGGACUUAGUUUCCACCAUAUUCACGUUACCACCUAUACUUGUUACUUAACAUAUUUUCUUCAGUUUAUCCUGCAUCAACUCAUUUAUUUUAAUUUGGUCUCAUUCUAAUUGACAGCAUAUAGCAGCUUAUGAAUUUGAUGUGCGUAUGCAUGUUGCAACAAAUACUUAACUAUUAGUAUGUAUGCUACGGUGUAAAUGUACCACACUCAGAAAAAACCUUAUUAGACCAUCCUGACUGUUUAGGAAGCUUGGUGCCCAAGGGAAAUAGUCUUUGACCAUCAGCCAGAAUUUGGUUAGUUUCAGCAGAUAAGAGAGUAGCUGGUAAGCUACUUAGGAACAUUUUAAGUAGAAUAUGUGAGAAAUGAGGAUAGGAUAUGCCUUUAUUCCCAGCAGGCAAAAACAUGCAUUUAUUUACUAUAGUUGUUAUAAUAUAAAUAACAUAGAUGCAUAUGUAUACCAGAAACAUGGUCUUUAUCCCAUUUGUGGAUAAAAGCUAAGGAAGAACUUGUAUUACUUAUGUAUGAAAUGCCCAAGGGAACAGAGCCUAGACAAGUUCUGAAACUUAAUAUCUAGGGAAUGUAAACAUUUAAUAAAACAUUACCUUACCCACCUAUGUGGCCUUUCUUGGCUGGACUUCUAAAAAAUUUUGUUUUUAUACCAUAUUCUUUGUUUUAGGAAAGCAUUAUCUUACUCCCAGCCUCUGGGGAAAAUAAAUAACCGAGAGAAUCAAUAAGGAGAUGCCCCAGUGUUGUGGUCAGUGUCUGUUUUUCCCCAGUGUUCUGGGAGCAGGGUUUCCUGGUGUUCUGUUACAUCAGCAUGAAGGAGGCCUUGUGCAUGGGAAGACCCAGACCUCACUUCCCCUGUGUCACUUGCAGUCACUUGUCUUCCUCUUUUGUUUUUGUGUAUUUACCGGGGAUGAGGAGGUGGAUGGGCAGAGGGAUUGUAUAUAGAACUGGCU